RNAcentral lists this ribosomal RNA (547 nucleotides) under uncultured Glomus. RNAcentral's name for it is "SSU rRNA". It matches the Rfam family "Eukaryotic small subunit ribosomal RNA", at positions 548 to 1097 of the family's 1831-position model. Lineage: Eukaryota; Fungi; Glomeromycota; Glomeromycetes; Glomerales; Glomeraceae. The record is from RNAcentral.
UUGGAGGGCAAGUCUGGUGCCAGCAGCCUUUUAAAGUUCCAGCUCCAAUAGCGUAUAUUAAAGUUGUUGCACUUUUAAAACUCGUAGUUGAAUUUCGGGGUUAGUAGGUUGGUCAUGCCACUGGUAUGUACUGAUCUUACUGAUUCCUCCUUCUUGAUGAACCGUAAUACCAUUAAUUUGGUGUUGCGGGGAGACUGGACUGUUACUUUGAAAAAAUUAGAGUGUUUAAAGCAGGCUAACGCUUGAAUACAUUAGCAUGGAAUAAUGAAAUAAGACGUUCGAUCCUAUUUUGUUGGUUUCUAGGAUUGACGUAAUGAUUAAUAGGGAUAGUUGGGGGCAUUAGUAUUCAAUUGUCAGAGGUGAAAUUCUUGGAUUUAUUGAAGACUAACUACUGCGAAAGCAUUUGCCAAGGAUGUUUUCAUUAAUCAAGAACGAAAGUUAGGGGAUCGAAGACGAUCAGAUACCGUCAUAGUCUUAACCAUAAACUAUGCCGACUAGGGAUCGGAUGAUGUAAUUUUUUAUGACUCAUUCGGCGCCUUACGGGAAA